GUGCGGGUAUUUCUGGCUUCAAGAUUUGGACAUGGUUUUAGCACAUAAACUAGUGUAUUUUGGUAGGCUGAAGCUUGGACAGGGAUAUAUGGUCUUGGAGGAUUUUGGUAUGCUGGGGAUCGAUGUGGAUUGUAAUGUGGCUGAGUAUUAUACAUUAGAAUGUGUACAAUAAUUUGGGGGGUUGUUAGGGUAAUGGUGGGAAGAAUUUCCAGGUUGGUAGUAUGGUGUGACAACUGUGACAUCUUUCCUUUUUUUUCUUAUUACCAUUAAUGAAACUUGAUUGUAUGGCCUUACUUAUGGCUUGUAGUGCAACCAU
Molecule: long non-coding RNA, 316 nt
Filed under: Capsicum annuum
Lineage: Eukaryota; Viridiplantae; Streptophyta; Magnoliopsida; Solanales; Solanaceae
Description: long non-coding RNA (CANN_LNC017872)
Source: RNAcentral